CUGGAGCUCAAGAUCACCCCUCCAUACAUCAUACAUGCAUCACAGAAGGGGUGUAAACGUCAUACCUACAUCACAGAAAAGGUGGUCUACAACAGAAAUUUGAAUGUUGUUGUUUUUCCUGUCUGCCAGGUUAUCUGAUAAUGCCUUAUCUGAUUGCCUUUCCUGGUAGUCUGGCCAUUCCUUUGAAAUGGUGAUUACCCAAUUCCUGAGACAAUUCCCUCAUGCCCUCCCUCCUUUAAGAGAAAACAUUUGAUCAGUUUGGGAGUCAAAAUGGUUUCAGGUCGGUGUUCCUGUGCUGCUCCAGAGAUGUGGUCCCCACAUCCAUCUACGUGCUUGGCUGGUACACCUAUGAACAUUUAUUAUAUAUAUAAGACCUUAUUUUUUUUAUUACAGUUAGAAGAGGAAUAAUCAGGGGAGGAAGGGGGGAAGGACUCACCUGACGUCUGGAGGAGAUAACUGACCGCUUGAAGGUGGUUGCAAGGCUCCCAGAUGCGGUCGGAGAGCCAACCAAUGUUGCCUUCUUGCCUCCAGUAGAAACACGCUUUGUGGUGGCACGCUUCCUCCCCGAAGAGAGCACCCUCUUCUUAAUCUUUUUAGUGACCUGCACGGCUCGACUAGGAGCGCCCCUUACGCGUGUGAGGUGGAGAAGUUACCCCUUGUUGUUCGGUUCUGCUAGCAGGCAGCAUGAUAGUGCUAAUAAUGUUGUUACUGUUACUAGUACAAUAUUUUGUUGUUGUUUAGUCGUUUAGUUGUGCCCGACUCUUCAUGACCCCAUGGACCAGAGCACGCCAGGCACUCCUGUCUUACACUGCCUCCCGCAGUUUGGUCAAACUCAUGCUGGUAGCUUCAAGAACACUGUCCAACCAUCUCAUCCUCUGUCGUCCCCUUCUCCUUGUGCCCUCCAUCUUUCCCAACAUCAGGGUCUUUUCCAGGGAGUCUUCUCUUCUCAUGAAGUGGCCAAAGUAUUGGAGCCUCAGCUUCAGGAUCUGUCCUUCCAGUGAGCACUCAGGGCUGAUUUCCUUAAGAAUGGAUCUGUCCUUCCAGUGAGCACUCAGGGCUGAUUUCCUUAAGAAUGGAUAGGUUUGGUCUUCUUGCAGUCCAUGGGACUCUCAAGAGUCUCCUCCAGCACCAUAAUUCAAAAGCAUCAAUUCUUCGGCGAUCAGCCUUCUUUAUGGUCCAGCUCUCACUUCCAUACAUCACUACUAGUACAAUAUUAAUAUUAUCUUAAUAAGGAAAAGGACUGAAAAAAUUAGGAAGUGAUAUAGCAAAGAAUUAGACGGAAGAGCCACAGAGCCGAAGAAUAUAAGCCUGCACUUAGGGAAAGCUGUGAAUAUAAAACAGAAACCGUUACCAUCUGAGUGUGUGCACAUUCUUAGAAGCCAACGGAAACCUCCCAGGUGGGAGGGGAAUUCUUUAAAGGGGCACACCAUACCCAGGCCGACAAGCAUAGUCAAUGGCAGCAGCUAAAGAUUCCAUGCUGGCGCAGCACAGACGAGAUGACUGUGAAACAAUUCAGAUAUAAAUUGUGCAGGUAGAACUGUAGAGUUGGAAGGGACCCCAAGGAUCAUCUAGUCCAACCCCCUGCAAUGCAGAAAUAUUCCGCUACCCCACCAUAAGUGUCAGGGAACUGCCAUCGGAGCUGGAAGCGGAGGGAAGGCUCCAGAGGGAUGGCAGAGAGGGUCCCAGUAGGGAGAGAGGCAGCCCGUCCGCUGGGGAAGGAAAUCAGCGUAACACCAGUAGAGAAGGGGGGCAGAUGGGGGAAUCGGAGAGGAGGCUCCAAGACUCCUCGCCGGAGACCAGCGGAGAGAGUACGGGUACUCCGCUGCCCACACCCUCCCUGCGCAGAAGACUUCCGCGCAGCGAGAGUAGGAGGAGACUUGGCGUCAAAGAACUUUUGUGCUGGAAGAAGUUCAAGAAACGCCCACUGACGGAUUCUGCCAGCGACUGAGACAGUCACGAUGCUGGAGGCUGUUCAGUCAGAAAGGGUUUAACCAGGUAACCUCGCCAGGAGUGGCGGCAACUUACGCACGAGCAACCCCUAAAUCCAUUACAAUAAGGAUCAAACAUGCAACCGUGGCCCCAUCAGCAUCAUGUUUCAGCCAGCUGAGCUGACCAGGCACUGAAGAAGAGAAUACAUAAAUGCAGACUCCCACAUAAAGAGCACCAUAGAUCACAUGAGAACUAACCAUGCAUUGUAACCCCCCAUGUGUGUGCAUGCCUAUGGCAUCAUGAGUAAUUAAUAACUAAUUAACAGUAUCCUUCCCUCGUGUUACUGAAAACAGAGUUAGAAGGGGCUCUGGGUCAUCUAGCCCAGCCCAGCCCAGCCCCCUAUAUACCGAUACCAAAAUAGAUUAGACCAGAGGCCUCUGGCCUCCUUUAAAUCUGAGGAGUGGACCAGAGGGAAGCCUGCUUCGGCACGGUCCGCUCCUCCUAGCUGCAUCCACUGCAGAUUCGCCGAUUCAAAUGGCUGGGUUGUGGCGGGAACCCAGUGGCCUCCAUGGUGACCCCAGGAGGAGAGCAAUGGCCACAGGAGCAGCAUGGUUCUGGGAAGAUGGCGGUGCAGUGCGCAGGGCUGCAAACGUCACCCACUGCUGGGACAUGAUGAGCGGCCAUUAAUGGUUCCUCGUCCUCCUGAGAAAAAGUGACAAGUGGGUUGCCUCAGGGUUCUGUCCUGGGCCCAUUGUUGUUUAACAUCUUUAUAAAUUACUUGGAUGAAGGAAUUGAGGGGUUGCUCAUCAAAUCUGCUGAUGACACCAAACUGGGAGGGGUAGCUAAUGCUGCAGAAAACAGAUUCAGAAUUCAAAAUGACAUUAACAGAUUGGAGAACUGGAUGAAAGCCAACAAAAUGAAUUGCAAUAGGGACAAAUGUAAGGUUCUGCACUUAGGCAGGAAGAACCAGGUUCCCUAAUAUAGGAUGGGGAACACCUGGCUUCCUAGCAGUACCUGUGAAAAGGAUCUAAGGGUCUUGAUGGACCACAAGCUUAACAUGAGUCAACAGUGUGAUGCAGCAGCAAAAAAAGCUAAAGCUAUUCUAGGCUGCAUCAACAGAAUCAAGGGAAGUAAUAGUACCACUCCAUUCUGCCUUGGUCAGACCACACCUGGAAUACUGUGUCUGGGCACCACAAUUUAUGAAGGAUUUUGACAAGCUGGAACAUGUGCAGAUGAGGACGACCAAGAUGAUGAAGGGUCAAACCAAGCCUUAUGAGGAGCAGUUGAGGAAGCUGGGUAUGUUUAGUCUGGAAAAGAGGAGAUAUGAUAGCCAUCUUCAAAUAUCUCAAGGACUAUCACAUGAAAGAGGGAACAAGCUUGUUUUCCCCUGCUCUGGAGGGUAGGACUCAAACCAAUGGCUUCAAGUUACAAGAAAGGAGAGUCCGACUAAUAAUAAUAAUAAUAAUAAUAUUUUUUUAUUUAUACCCCGCCCUUCCCGGUUCAAAAACCGAGCUCAGGGCGGCUAACAACAAAUUUAAAACACUUAAUUGUAAAAGCAGCAUAAAAUACAGUAUAAUAACAUGAAUAACAAUAAAAUUCAAAAUUCAGAAAUCAAUUUAGGGGAAAUAAGCAUUAGAUAAUCACCAGGGCUAGCUGGCUGAAUUGGUCCUACUUGGGCCAGCGAGGAGGCCAGGGGAGAAUUAGCUGUGGGGUCUCAGAGCGGGUAAUCUUCAUACAAGGGGAAGGGGGCGGAAGAGAAGGGAAGGGAAAUAAAAGAUCAGGCUGAAUUCACAUUAAAGUCCAGGUUGAAUAGCUCUGUCUUACAGGCCCUGUGGAAGGAGGUUAAAUUCUGAAGGGCCCUAGUCUCCUGGGACAGAGCAUUCCACCAGGUCGGAGCCAUCACUGAAAAGGCCCUGGCCCCGGGGGAGGAUAGUCUGGCUUCCUUAGGGCCCGGGACCUCUAAACUAUGGUUAUUCAUGGACCUUAAGGUCCUCUGCAGGGCAUACCAGGGGAGGCGGUCCGGUAAAUACGAGGGCACUAAACAUCUGGAAGAACUUUCUGGCAGGAAGAGCUGUUUGACAGUGUAAUGGACUCCCUUGGGACUCUCCUUCCUUGGAGGUUUUUAAGCAGAUGCUGGAUGGCCAUCUGUCAGGGAUGCUUUAGCUGAGAUGUCUGUAUUUCAGGGUGUUGGGCUAGAUGACCGGGGGGGGGGGGGUACCUUCCAACUAUACAAUCCUAUGGUACAUUAUCUCUGUCCACAAGUUCAAAAACAGAAAGCGAGAGAAGUGCUCCAGAGACUCCUGCAGGCAAAACCUGCUUUCGGUCUCUGCAGCCUGUUCUUCUGCAAAUGUUCCCUCCCUGCUUUGCUUUUUGGUAUCCUGCAUGCAUUCCUCUGACAUGCACAGUGCUUCCUAUCCUCACAGUGCCCAUAAAAUCCAGGGCCCAUAAAAGCCAGGGUCUAAUAAUAAAUGAGCACAUUAUGGUGUGAGCCGAGUGCUGGGAACGCAAUGAAAAGCGACUCUUCUAACAACCGCCUGCCACCUAACUUGCCUGCAUGUUCCACGCCUACUGAUCCCAGGUACCUGCCUGAAGUUAUUCUUAACAAAUCAAGCUUGUCUCCUGGAGUUAUAUUAGGGAUGCAACAUAGGUUGCCUAAUGUACAAGUGAAAUGUUACUCUGUCCCUAUUGUUUGCUGGUGCUGUAAAUGCCAUACCUUCUCUCUUUGCUUUUAUUAUUUCCCAACCUUUCUUCUGUCCCCUAAUCAUAAACCUCUCCCGGCUUUUAGAAAAUGCCAUUCUGCCUUUCAAGCCGGUACAAUAGGUCACCUCAGGUAGAGCUGAACCAGCAAAGGGAUCAUUAUAGGAAAAGUUAUAAUGUGACUCAACACCACCCAAGGAUUCUUAUACAUUUUUAUUUUUAUUUUUAAAAAAGGCAACUUGAUGAGCUCAACCUGGGAGAGCGUUUAACCCUCUUCAAAUCAUUUCUGAACAAUAUCGUGCAGGUGGUAUUGUGGAAGCACAUAAGGAAAGGAAUCCCCAUGGGGAGACUUUGAAAUUUGUCAACAAGCAAACCUGUAUCAGUAUUUCAGUUUACACCUUUUGCAUCCCUUCCUGUGUUCCCUUGUCAACCAAGGUAAGCAGGGAGGUUCAAAACAGGCUCAAGCAGUGACCUGUCAGGGUGCUAGUAUCCUGGCAAUGGUCAUGCCUGCAAGAUAUCCACAAUUUUCAGAGCCCCAACCCAGGGGAAACCCCACUCUGUUCUUAAGGAAGAAGCUACCUACACCCAUCCCUAAAUUAUGCAUAUUUAUGAUAGCUAAAGUUGGAACCCCCCCCAAAGAAGCCAAAGUUGUGCAUAAACAUUCUUUUUACCCUAGGAUGAUGCCAGAAAUUAUCACUGCAGAUCAUGUAAGUAUUUCUUCUCGCUAAGGCAAGUGCAACCCACCAUCAUUCUUGUAUCCACAGAAAGAGAAGGUGGCUUUGCGUGUGUGGGUCCCCAAGCCACCCCUCAAAAUAAUUCACACAUCACAUGUAAUUUUAGUUUUAGGUUUUUGGGCACUAAUUUGGCCACAACUUUAUUAAAAUACAAAAUCUGUGAGUGGUUGUUUAAACAUUGGUUAUGACUAUCUGUCCCCCCGCCUGGGACAGAACUGACAUUCCGAACUCCAAUUGGAAGCCAGUUGAAGGGAAAGUCAAUGUUGGGGAUCAGUUGAGCUGAGCGUCAGUCCCUCACCACUCACCCAACCAGCUCCCCAAGGCUUGCCGGCCCUGGUCCCAUUUCAGGGAUUGGACGAAAUCGUGGCAAGCCCCAGGAUUCCUUUAACGGAAUUCCCUUCAGCACCAUUGGAGGGGAAGGCACAGCCUAUCCUGACCCCUCCACCACCAGCUUUUUAUAACCAAUGCCUAACCACAACCUUACAAGUUGUGACGAAUUGCUAAGUAGUAGGCAAAAACCAAGUGGCACCAGCCAAUCAGCCAAAUGGCAAAAUUCCUACUAGGCCCCUGCCCCAAGGCAGGCGACCCCAUGACAGGCAAAACAAGGGCGGGCGGGCGGGCGGGCAGGUGAUCCGAUGCACUCUGCUAAAGAGAAAGCAAAAGCCAGAGUGCCCCAGUAUUUAAAGACUAUGAUCCCACCCACCAAUUUGCUACAUGCAAUUUGCCCCAGCAACCCGGUCAGCCAAUCGAUGCACCAGGCAAUAGCCAUUAACCUGCCUGGCAACCCAGGGCUGGCCUGGUGGCCCACACCGCAACCCGUGCUCUCACUUAAUGGAGAACGCGCUUUAUCAGCAGCUCAAGGUAGAGGUGGAGAAGACCUCUAUCUUGAUCCCAACUAUCCCUUGCCUUUUAAUUCCUUCCAUAACCAAGUGUUUGUUCCCCCUUUUCUUUCUUAUUCCAAUUUCCUUCUUUUUCAGCUUCCCUUCUCUUGUAGAUUCUAAAAUGCACCUCAUUUCCCUGAAACAAUAUCUGGGCCAGCAGGCAAUUCUGAUACAGGGGCUAUAUUUAUCCAUUGUAACAUUCUAGUGGCUUUUAUUUUUCUGUCUCUCCUGGGUACUACACACACCCAGCGAGAUAAUGAUAAGACUAAGUCAAUCCCAUGCUUCAGGGUGUAAGACGAUUGCCAGCUGGAAUCAUAGAACAGAAAACAAAUCCCAAUUUUCUUGUAAAAGCAUUAGAGAUUUGUUCAGGUAUAUUAGUGUGGAUCAUGAAUUUAUCAGCCGCACAGGCAUAAGCACAAAGCAGGUUAAUCAAUAUGUUCCAUAGCAACCUUCUGGGUAAAAAUUCAAGGUGACUGCUGUGACCUACAGAACUCUUAAUAACCUGACAUCCGUAGAAGUCUGUUCAAAGGAAUCAGCUUUAGCCACUGCAAAUAAUAAAGCAGGUGAAUGACAUCCUAUGUUACCCAUUGCAGAUACUUCCCCCAAAAUUGUUGUAAGUUGCUUAGAAUAGCUGUGCUACGGAAUUGCACUCUGAUUUGUUUGUUUCUUAAAGGGGAUAGAGAUAAGGAGGAAGAUCUAUAUAGGUUAAAAUUAAAACACAAAAGGGGGGAAAUUGGCUCUGGCUGGAGAGAGAACUUUAAGAAAGUACUGUUUAGAAAGGCCUAUUUGGAGCUGUUUGUUUCAGGAUCAGGACGCAACUAAAAGCAUAGACUGAUGGCGCUGUGGGUUAAACCACAGAACCUAGGACUUGCCAAUCAGAAGGUCGGAUGUUUGAAUCCCUGCGACGGGGUGAGCUCCCGUUGCUCGGUCCCUGCUCCUGCCAACCUAGCAGUUCGAAAGCACAUCAAAGUGCAAGUAGAUAAAUAGGUACUGCUCCGGCGGGAAGUUAACAGCAUUUCCGUGCGCUACUCUGGCUUUCCAGAAGUGGCUUAGUGAUGCUGGCCACAUGACCCAGAAGCUGUAUGCCGGCUCCCUUGGCCAAUAAAGCAAGAUGAGCUUCAACCCCAGAGUCGGUCACGACUGGACCUAAUGGUCAGGGGUCCCUUUACCUUUUAAGAGCACUAUGUGCAUGUAAAUAUCAGAUCUGGCUAUCAAAGGACAAGGCUGAAACCAUUUAACUGAAACAGGACAAAGAGUCGAGGGAACAACAGUCCCACAUGCUCCCAAAGUGAAGACAUACCUUAGAAAAACAGCUUCACAUUUAUAUUUUUAACCUUCUGUUGGAAGCCACCCAGAGUGGCUAGGGAAACCCAGCCAGAUGGGUGGGGUAGAAAAAAAUUAUUAUUUUUAUUAUUAUUAUUACUACGGGUAAUCCUGAAUUCAACCUGAAUUCACACCCUUUAAACCUGGUAGUCAAUGAAACAACUGGUUUCUUCAGUUUGAUUCCACAGAUCUAUAAUUAUUUCUCUGAAUUGACUCAGUGGUGGCAAAUUCUAACUAGCCAUGUAUCAGACUUAGGCAUAACUGUUACGCUGUUGAGCAAAACAACACAGAACUACUUUGGAACUACUGAGAUACCAUCUUGGUAGUAUCUAUUAUAUGAUGCUUAAAUAAAGAUACUUGAUGACACAAGCCUAAAAGGUUUGUCUGGAAAUACUUCUCUAUUUGAAGCUAAGACCCCAAGAUUUAAUUUGUAAAUUCAAGUUUCUGGUGAUUCGUGUUGUAUGGUACAACAUCCAUUUUGAAAUCAAUCAGCCCAUUUUGGGGGGUGGGUGCAAGUAGUCAGUCGAGAGCCAGUGUGGUGUAGUGGUUAAGAGCGGUAGUCUCCUAAUCUGGGGAACCGGGUUCGCGUCUCCGCUCCUCCACAUGCAGCUGCUGGGUGACCUUGGGCCAGUCACACUUCUUUGAAGUCUCUCAGCCCCACUCACCUCACAGAGUGUUUGUUGUGGGGAAGGAAGGGAAAGGAGAAUGUUAGCCGCUUUGAGACUCCUGAAGGGGAGUGAAAGGCGGGAUAUCAAAUCCAAACUCUUCUUCUCUUCUUCUUCUUGCCCAGGGCACAAAAUAGCCUGACAGUUGCAUUGCCAAUAAGUUUUCUAUCCCAAUUUAAUGCAUUGUUGUUUAGCACUUUAACUCCAAAUCUUUUAAACUGCCCUCACAUGUAUACAUUUCUAUUUUUAUCUGACUACAUCCUGGUAGUUCAUGUUAAGUCAAAGUUUUUCUAGUGUUAAAUAUGUAACUUUACACAGAAAAACAAGAUGUAAAAAAAAAAAAAAAUCAAGAAGCAGAAUGCCCAGUUUUAGAAAUGCUAAUGACAUACAGUUGUACCUCGGGUUACAUACGCUUCAGGUUACAGACUUCGCUAACCCAGAAAUAUUACCUCGGGUUAAGAACUUUGCUUCAGGAUGAGAACAGAAAUCGUGAUCCGGCGGUGCGGCGGCAGCAGGAAGCCCCAUUAGCUAAAGUGGUGCUUCAGGUUAAGGACAGUUUGAGGUUAAGAACGGACCUCCGGAACGAAUUAAGUACUUAACCCAAGGUACCACUGUAUUUAAAUUUCAGGUUCAUAAUAUAAGCGUAAACAUGAUAGAGCCCUGCAUUCUUCAUGAACCUGGAUUUUGUUCAGAUCCAAUGAAGAACUCCUUCUUCCUCCUCCACCCCCCCCCCCGCAAUUAUCUUCCAGCUCUGAGGGAGGAGUGAGGUCCUGGUCUGCAGCUUUUGGUGUCCCUCUUAUCCAUGGCACAUGCAACACAGAGUAGGAAAGUAACAUACUCAAGGACAGGUUGGAGAAAUUCUAUUUUCCAUGGUUCUUGCACAUUUUGCUCUAGACUGAUUCAUGUGUCAGGAGGCGAGGAGGACAGAUCAAGUGGUGUGGAACUUUUUGCAGCCUGGGGGAUGAAUUCAGCAACCUUCUAGGGGCUGUGGGGUUGCAGAGGUAAAAGUGAGCAAAGCAAUGAAUUCCAAAAAUACAGUAGGCAUGUUUCCAUAUAUACAUACAUGCUCACACACCUCUCUCCAUCUUCCAUCCAAUAGGCAUUAUCAGAGGUCUGGUCCAGCCAGGCAAGAAGGGUGUGUGGCCUGGGGAAAUUGGAGGUGUGUGGCCUGAUGAGAGUCUUCAGGGCCAGAGAGAGAGGUCUGGAGCGUGACAUUUGAUCCCUGGAACUGAGGUUCUCCAUUCCUACUCCAUUGGGUCAAAAUUCUCUUGGUGAACAAAAUGACUCCUUCUGUUAAGUUGUGGGUGAACAUAUCAGACGACACAGCGAUUCUUCAAACAGCUCUUGUUUAUUCACAGGCCAGGACAGAACUGAACAGAAGGGUUCAGUCAGCCUGCUUAUAUAGAGCUCCAGUACAAUGUAACUGUAACAAUUUUCUAAAACUAUCCAAUCACUGAACGUCACUUUCGAUCCCUUAUUUGUAUAACUAUCUACAGUAUCCCCCUGCUGGCCCAGGGUGAGAACUUCAGUACAUAACACCUUCUGUUUGUGGAAGGGCAAGUCUUGAUCUAGUGCCUACCCAUGUGAGCGAGACCUGUUUCUCUUCUGCAGGAGCAAUCACCAUAAUGAUUUAAUGAGGAGAGUGAGAGAGCCCAGCUGGAGCAGCCACACCUGUCAGGUAAGGGAUUUGCCGACUCACAGAAGCAGCAAUUUUGAGCAAAAUUAGAACUCUCAGAAAAGAAAGGUAUUUUGCCCCAGCUGCUCCUAAUUGCACACUUCAGAGUGAACCUGAAGAAGUUCACUCAUCUCUACCAAGUAUAAAGUCUCCCUCCAACUGUUUAACCCCUUUGCCCCAAGUGCAUCAUCUCCCAUUCUCAGACCUUCCCUAUGUAAGUGGAUAAAUGGCUGCCCAAAUGGAACACCAUCCUUUACUAUUAAAAAUGAGGAGGGGAGCUCAAAAUAGACGUUAACUCUCCAUACCGCCAGCCAAUCAUGUAUUUAAUUGGGUAUAUUUUCCUUACAUGUUCAGUAGAAGCAGUAAAUGGGCAUUGAAUCUCCACACUGCCAGCCAAUCAUGUAUUUAAUGUGAUGCAUUUUGCUUCAAUUUGAAAUGGAAGAGAAUAUAGUUUUCUUGUGCUCACAAUUAAGAGCUUGGUCCAUUUUUUAAAUUGUUAGCCAUUUGGCCACUUUUUAUCUUCCAUCACAAUUCAUGAGAGAAUCAGGCAUGUAAUUUCUGAGCUUGUACCCAUUUGAAUUUUUGAGACUGAGAAGCACCUAACAUUGAUUGGAACGUCUCCUAUAGUUCUAUCCAAAUAAGUCUUUAACUUAGAGAUAGGCAUGUAUAAAUAACUUCUAAUCUUUCAGUCCUCAUGCCGUCGUUCCAAUCUGUUUCAACAGCCGGUGCAAAGGUGUCAAGUGUGUGUCAGUUUUCAUACGACCAUCUUACUACUUAGCCUUAGUCAACAACAGAUAAAGUUGGGAGAAUGAGAGACUUUCCCCAGUUGACAGUUUUCUUGGCUAAGAAGAGGCAGGAUGGCAGGCACAGAUGGAAAAGUUCAGCUCAGAAAUGUUAUCAAAAGGACAGCAGGAGUCAUUUGAUUUGCCGUGUCCAGAGGAUAUAAAUGUCUUCAAACCGUACUAUAGAGGGCAUGAGAGAUUGGUUUCCUUUAUUUUAAUGCUGUGACUCUAGAAUAUGUUGUCAAAAACAAAAAUCAAGUGAAGAAUGGUAGUGCAGUGAAAAAAGCAAUUUGAGAGGCAGCAAUCCCCUCCAUAACAGUCAGUGAGGACAGCAGCUGUGUCACAGAGAAUCAAAUUGUUUGCGUUUAUACUUCUUUUGCUAAAAUACACGUCUUAAGCAUGAGUGUGCAAUAAUCCCUGGGUGUGAGAGAUCAUUAUUCAGUACACUGUGGAAUCCCCAUCAAUGGAACCUGGAUGGGGGCGACAUCAACUUCUGCCAUUACUGAAUCAGUAUGCCACAUAAAGGUGGUACCAACGGAACACUUAUAUGGAAAAAGCUACCCAGGAACACCACUAAGGCACAGAUGAAUGAACGUUCAUAUUACAAUAUUUCUAUACCACCUAUCGAUUGAAAACAACAUGUAUAAAGGAACUACCAGAUUUCCAAAAAAAAAUGACAGUAAAUAACCGGCCAAACUACAGCGAGGAGAAGAAGCAGAAACUGAGCAAGAUUUGUCAAGGGGAAGCAAAUACUAAUAUAAAUGCCCCCCUCUUUUGAAUAAAAUACCGCAAAGCCAGCAGAUCUAAUCAUCUUGGCAAUGGGAUUUCACAAAUGGGAUCCUGCUCUUGAAGAAGCUCUGACCUGGGUAUACAGGGACUAAAAUAUUGGGGGAAUAUGUAAGGUGCCACCCCAAAGAUCUUAAUCUCCAAGUCUCCACCCCAUCAUCCAGCCCGGACACUGAGGUCCAGGGCCGUGGGCCUUCUGGCAGUUCCCUCGCUGCAAGAAGUGAGGUUAGAGGGAACCAGGCAGAGGGCCUUCUCGGUAGUGGCACCUGCC
Podarcis lilfordi (Lilford's wall lizard) is the source of this 11743-nucleotide non-coding RNA. Lineage: Eukaryota; Metazoa; Chordata; Lepidosauria; Squamata; Lacertidae. The record is from the annotation of a GenBank genome assembly.